UACGAAGGGAGCUAGCGUUGUUCGGAAUUACUGGGCGUAAAGGGCGCGUAGGCGGGUUUCCAAGUCGGGGGUGAAAUUCCAGGGCUCAACCCUGGGACGGCCUUCGAUACUGGGAGCCUGGAGAUCGGGAGAGGUGAGUGGAAUUCCUAGUGUAGAGGUGAAAUUCGUAGAUAUUAGGAAGAACACCAGUGGCGAAGGCGGCUCACUGGCCCGGUACUGACGCUGAGGCGCGAAAGCGUGGGGAGCAAACAGG
Molecule: ribosomal RNA, 253 nt
Filed under: uncultured bacterium
Lineage: Bacteria
Description: partial 16S ribosomal RNA
Rfam family: Bacterial small subunit ribosomal RNA
Source: RNAcentral